GUUAAAAUCGUUUAAUCACAUGUUACACCGCAACAAGAAGGUGGAUUUCAUCGAGCAGUUCAACGAGAAGCUUCUGGUCAAGCAGGAAAAUGAGAACCUUCAGAUUCUCGAUGUGCGGAACUCUGAGUUGACUGAAGUUUGCAAAACUGAGUUUAUGACUCCCUCAGCGUUCAUUUUCUUGUACGAGAACCAUCUCUUCUUAACAUUCCGAAACCGAACUGUGGCGGUGUGGAAUUUUCGCGGAGAGUUA
RNAcentral lists this unclassified non-coding RNA (250 nucleotides) under Hevea brasiliensis (rubber tree). The record is from RNAcentral. Lineage: Eukaryota; Viridiplantae; Streptophyta; Magnoliopsida; Malpighiales; Euphorbiaceae.